Molecule: ribosomal RNA, 611 nt
Filed under: uncultured bacterium
Lineage: Bacteria
Description: bacterial SSU rRNA
Rfam family: Bacterial small subunit ribosomal RNA (bases 1-532)
Source: RNAcentral
CCUACGGGAGGCAGCAGUAAGGAAUAUUGGUCAAUGGACGAAAGUCUGAACCAGCCAUGCCGCGUGAAGGAUUAAGGCCCUCUGGGUUGUAAACUUCUUUUAUCUGGGACGAAAAAAGGGUAUUCUUACUCACUUGACGGUACCAGAGGAAUAAGCACCGGCUAACUCCGUGCCAGCAGCCGCGGUAAUACGGAGGGUGCAAGCGUUAUCCGGAUUUACUGGGUUUAAAGGGUGCGUAGGUGGGCUUGUAAGUCAGUGGUGAAAUCUCCGGGCUUAACCCGGAAACUGCCAUUGAUACUAUAGGUCUUGAAUUAUCUGGAGGUAAGCGGAAUAUGUCAUGUAGCGGUGAAAUGCUUAGAUAUGACAUAGAACACCAAUUGCGAAGGCAGCUUACUACGGAUACAUUGACACUGAGGCACGAAAGCGUGGGGAUCAAACAGGAUUAGAUACCCUGGUAGUCCACGCCCUAAACGAUGGAUACUCGACAUCAGCGAUACACUGUUGGUGUCUGAGNGAAGANAUAGUAUCCACCGNGAGAGAGNGCGAAGAGUAGUUAAGUUACGUAAGAAGUUAGUAGCGNGAGAGNGCGACGGACGACGACGAGGAGGAGG